AGAGUUUGAUCAUGGCUCAGGACGAACGCUGGCGGCGUGCUUAACACACGCAAGUCGAACGGAGUUCCUUGGAUCUAGGUUUCGGCCAAUUGAAUUGGAACUUAAUGGCGGACUGGUGAGUAACGCGUGAGGAACCUGCCCUUCAGAGGGGGACAACAGUUGGAAACGACUGCUAAUACCGCAUGACGCAUGACUGGGGCAUCCCGGACAUGCCAAAGAUUUUAUCGCUGAAAGAUGGCCUCACGUCUGAUUAGCUAGUUGGUGGGGUAACGGCCUACCAAGGCGACGAUCAGUAGCCGGACUGAGAGGUUGACCGGCCACAUUGGGACUGAGAUACGGGCCAGACUCCUACGGGAGGCAGCAGUGGGGAAUAUUGGGCAAUGGACGCAAGUCUGACCCAUCUACGCCGCGUGAAGGAAGAAGGCUUUCGGGUUGUAAACUUCUUUUAAGGGGGAAGAGCACAAGACGGUACCCCUUGAAUAAGCCACGGCUAACUACCUGCCACCAUCCGCGGUAAUACGUAGGUGGCAAGCGUUGUCCGGAUUUGCUGGGUGUAAAGGGCGUGUAGCCGGGUUCUUAACUCAGAUGUGAAAUCCACGGGCUCAACUCGUGAACUGCAUUUGAAACUGAGGAUCUUGAGUAUCGGAGAGGUAAUCGGAAUUCCUUGUGUAGCGGUGAAAUGCGUAGAUAUAAUGAAGAACACCGAGUGGCGAUGCGGAUUACUGGACGACACUGACCGGUGAGGCGCGAAAGCGUGAGGAGCAAACAUGAAUAGUAUACCCUGUCAGUCCACGCUGUAAACGAUCGAUACUAUGUGUGGGGGGAUUGGCCCCCCUGGGGGCAGCAAUUAACACAAUAAAGUUUUCCCACCUGGGAGUAGGAUUGCAAGGUGGAAAUCAAAGGAAUGACGG
RNAcentral lists this ribosomal RNA (911 nucleotides) under uncultured bacterium. RNAcentral's name for it is "bacterial SSU rRNA". It matches the Rfam family "Bacterial small subunit ribosomal RNA", at positions 8 to 916 of the family's 1533-position model. The record is from RNAcentral.